GACGAACGCUGGCGGCGUGCUUAACACAUGCCAGUCGAACGGAAAGGCCCUGCUUUUGUGGGGUGCUCGAGUGGCGAACGGGUGAGUAACACGUGAGUAACCUGCCCUUGACUUUGGGAUAACUUCAGGAAACUGGGGCUAAUACCGGAUAGGAGCUCCUGCUGCAUGGUGGGGGUUGGAAAGUUUCGGCGGUUGGGGAUGGACUCGCGGCUUAUCAGCUUGUUGGUGGGGUAGUGGCUUACCAAGGCUUUGACGGGUAGCCGGCCUGAGAGGGUGACCGGCCACAUUGGGACUGAGAUACGGCACAGACGCCUACGGGAGGCAGCAGUGGGGAAUAUUGCACAAUGGGCGGAAGCCUGAUGCAGCAACGCCGCGUGCGGGAUGACGGCCUUCGGGUUGUAAACCGCUUUCGCCUGUGACGAAGCGUGAGUGACGGUAAUGGGUAAAGAAGCACCGGCUAACUACGUG
This 468-nucleotide ribosomal RNA is filed under the name uncultured bacterium. RNAcentral's name for it is "partial 16S ribosomal RNA". It matches the Rfam family "Bacterial small subunit ribosomal RNA", at positions 28 to 507 of the family's 1533-position model. The record is from RNAcentral.